Molecule: ribosomal RNA, 253 nt
Filed under: uncultured bacterium
Lineage: Bacteria
Description: partial 16S ribosomal RNA
Rfam family: Bacterial small subunit ribosomal RNA
Source: RNAcentral
GACAGAGGGGGCAAGCGUUGCUCGGAAUCACUGGGCGUAAAGGGCGCGUAGGCGGGAUGGCAAGUCGGUCGUGAAAUCCUUCGGCUCAACCGAAGAGCGUCGGCCGAUACUGCCGUUCUUGAGGGAUGCAGAGGAGAUUGGAAUUCCCGGUGUAGCGGUGAAAUGUGUAGAGAUCGGGAGGAACACCGGUGGCGAAGGCGGGUCUCUGGGCAUCUCCUGACGCUGAGGCGCGAAAGCGUGGGGAGCAAACGGG